This 21-nucleotide microRNA is filed under the name Macaca mulatta (Rhesus monkey). RNAcentral's name for it is "mml-miR-662". Its record names the gene mml-miR-662. The record is from miRBase by way of RNAcentral. RNAcentral also lists the same sequence under 1 other name. Lineage: Eukaryota; Metazoa; Chordata; Mammalia; Primates; Cercopithecidae.
UCCCACGUUGUGGCCCAGCAG